RNAcentral lists this ribosomal RNA (518 nucleotides) under uncultured bacterium. RNAcentral describes it as "bacterial SSU rRNA". It matches the Rfam family "Bacterial small subunit ribosomal RNA", at positions 992 to 1509 of the family's 1533-position model. The record is from RNAcentral.
AGAACUUAGCAGAGAUGCUUUGGUGCCUUCGGGAACUCUGAGGACAGGUGCUGCAUGGCUGUCGUCAGCUCGUGUUGUGAAAUGUUGGGUUAAGUCCCGCAACGAGCGCAACCCUUAUCCUUUGUUGCCAGCGGUCCGGCCGGGAACUCAAAGGAGACUGCCAGUGAUAAACUGGAGGAAGGUGGGGAUGACGUCAAGUCAUCAUGGCCCUUACGAGUAGGGCUACACACGUGCUACAAUGGCGCAUACAAAGAGAAGCGACCUCGCGAGAGCAAGCGGACCUCAUAAAGUGCGUCGUAGUCCGGAUUGGAGUCUGCAACUCGACUCCAUGAAGUCGGAAUCGCUAGUAAUCGUGGAUCAGAAUGCCACGGUGAAUACGUUCCCGGGCCUUGUACACACCGCCCGUCACACCAUGGGAGUGGGUUGCAAAAGAAGUAGGUAGCUUAACCUUCGGGAGGGCGCUUACCACUUUGUGAUUCAUGACUGGGGUGAAGUCGUAACAAGGUAAGCGUAGUGCU